UUAAACCGCAACCUGAUCUUA
Molecule: non-coding RNA, 21 nt
Filed under: Arabidopsis thaliana (thale cress)
Lineage: Eukaryota; Viridiplantae; Streptophyta; Magnoliopsida; Brassicales; Brassicaceae
Source: RNAcentral